AGUGAACGCUGGCGGUAGGCCUAACACAUGCAAGUCGAACGGCAGCACAGUAAGAGCUUGCUCUUACGGGUGGCGAGUGGCGGACGGGUGAGGAAUACAUCGGAAUCUACUUUUUCGUGGGGGAUAACGUAGGGAAACUUACACUAAUACCGCAUACGACCUACGGGUGAAAGCAGGGGAUCUUCGGACCUUGCGCGAUUGAAUGAGCCGAUGUCGGAUUAGCUAGUUGGCGAGGUAAAGGCCCACCAAGGCGACGAUCCGUAGCUGGUCUGAGAGGAUGAUCAGCCACACUGGAACUGAGACACGGUCCAGACUCCUACGGGAGGCAGCAGUGGGGAAUAUUGGACAAUGGGCGCAAGCCUGAUCCAGCCAUACCGCGUGGGUGAAGAAGGCCUUCGGGUUGUAAAGCCCUUUUGUUGGGAAAGAAAAGCAGCAGGUUAAUACCCCGCUGUUCUGACGGUACCCAAAGAAUAAGCACCGGCUAACUUCGUG
RNAcentral lists this ribosomal RNA (492 nucleotides) under uncultured bacterium. RNAcentral describes it as "partial 16S ribosomal RNA". It matches the Rfam family "Bacterial small subunit ribosomal RNA", at positions 29 to 507 of the family's 1533-position model. The record is from RNAcentral.